Dermochelys coriacea (leatherback sea turtle) is the source of this 329-nucleotide long non-coding RNA. RefSeq lists it as uncharacterized. Lineage: Eukaryota; Metazoa; Chordata; Testudines; Dermochelyidae. The transcript has 3 exons. The record is from RefSeq and is a predicted model, not a curated record.
GCUCACUCCUCCCUUUGCUCAGAGGCAGCGUUUUUGGAAGACACGAUGGCUACCUGCCCUCAGAAGGAAGAUUUACACUCUAGGGUAGAAUAAUUGCUCAAAAACAGACAGAAGAAGAAACAACAACCUGUCUCCGAGGCCUGGAGUUACCCAGGUAUGCAGCACAGUGCAUGGGAGAACCGUCCCACGGGGCCAUGCCAGUGUCUGGGAGAACUCACUCCUGAGAGGGAGAGAGACUGCUCCAAGCCCCUGGAAAGAUGGGCAGAGGUGGGGCCUGCAGCUGGAAAAUGCUGACUGGCAAAGUCUGGCACCAACCAAGUGAGGGAAGA